Molecule: long non-coding RNA, 1261 nt
Organism: Suricata suricatta (meerkat)
Lineage: Eukaryota; Metazoa; Chordata; Mammalia; Carnivora; Herpestidae
Exons: 3
Source: RefSeq, a predicted model, not a curated record
GGAAGACAGAAACCCAGGCCCACAAGAUUUUCGUUGGCUUCCCCUUCUCUGAGAAAGGUGUGAUUCCUUCCCGUUCACGGCCCAUUAUGGGACCAGAAACUGGAGACAUAAUCGUGAUCUAUUCUUCUGGAUUUUUUUUCCCUUCUUGAAAUGUGACUGAUAAAUCCUCUCGUGGGAAGAGCCGCUCCACCAAACCCUCACCCUCUCCUCACACAAGACCGGAUUUCCAGAUCUCUACCCAUCUGACCGCCAUCCUGCAUCAGCUCCAAUCUGAUGCUGGUGUCAUCCAGGGUUCUCCGGUCUGGGGGAAUGGAUAAUGUCCCGCUAACAGCGCAUCUCCAUGCUGAGAGCUGGAAACCUUCCCCCUGCUCACACAGGAAUCCCAGCCCAAGGAGCGGGAGAGAAUCACUCGCGUCUGGACCCUAGCUGCCACUUCCUGUCACAGCCAGGUCGGUGCUCCCGCAGUUAGAAAGCGAGGGGUGCUGAUGGCGUCGUUGCUGCUGACGGAGCAGGAGACCUCGUCUGACACCGCCGUCCCUCUGGCUCCGGUAGCACCACCGCUUACACUUGCAGACCCCACGGUGCGGCCAUGUUUGUCAUGUGACUGCAGGAGACUCCCUUCUCUCUGGGGCCAUGCGCUCUCUGGGAGCCUCACGGCAAGGCCGUGUCAGAGUUUGGUGAGGGAGGUCCUGGGGUUCCCACGAGGACCACCAGGAUGAGGGCGGGUUCUGGCAGCGGCCAUCAUGCCUUAUAUCCCCCCUCCUGGCCUUGUGGCCGAGGGCACUGUCCACACCAAAUCCCCUGCCCUCUGGAAGGAACCCUCUAGUGCCCUCCCUCCUCCUCCGCCCUCCUCUGCCACCACAUGACUGUUGGUGUCUGAGACUUGACUGUGGCCACAGGCCCCCCUCCCAGGUACCUCCUCAGCCCUCGUGCAAAUCCGUGAGUAUAGAUAGCAGGAGGCUGGAGGGGACACACAUACAAAGGCGUCAGAAUCUCAACUCUGACCAGCUAGGACACCUGGGACCCAGGGACGAUGGCGUCCCUCUCCUACUCCCUGCUCAUGACCAGAUGAACCCAUACUUUUGGGUAAAUGAAGACACGAGGGGGAAAGACAGUUUUUGAAACUUCUGUUUGUUUAGUAUAAGCCCCUAAGAGUUUUCGAUCUCCUUCUGAUGAAGAGAGGUGAGCAUUGACUCAAAAAUCGUCCAUCCAAGGGGCACCUGCCUGGCUCAGUCGGUUAAGCAUCAGACUCUUGGUUUCA